Molecule: ribosomal RNA, 524 nt
Filed under: uncultured bacterium
Lineage: Bacteria
Description: partial 16S ribosomal RNA
Rfam family: Bacterial small subunit ribosomal RNA
Source: RNAcentral
UGGGGAAUAUUGCACAAUGGGCGAAAGCCUGAUGCAGCAACGCCGCGUGAGUGAUGAAGGUCUUCGGAUUGUAAAGCUCUGUCUUUUGGGACGAUAAUGACGGUACCAAAGGAGGAAGCCACGGCUAACUACGUGCCAGCAGCCGCGGUAAUACGUAGGUGGCGAGCGUUGUCCGGAUUUACUGGGCGUAAAGGGUGCGUAGGCGGAUGUUUAAGUGAGAUGUGAAAUACCCGGGCUUAACUUGGGUGCUGCAUUUCAAACUGGAUAUCUAGAGUGCAGGAGAGGAGAAUGGAAUUCCUAGUGUAGCGGUGAAAUGCGUAGAGAUUAGGAAGAACACCAGUGGCGAAGGCGAUUCUCUGGACUGUAACUGACGCUGAGGCACGAAAGCGUGAGUAGCAAACAGGAUUAAAUACCCUGGUAGUCCACGCCGUAAACGAUGAGUACUAGGUGUAGGAGGUAUCGACCCCUUCUGUGCCGCAGUAAACACAUUAAGUACUCCGCCUGGGAAGUACGAUCGCAAGAUU